Molecule: transfer RNA, 75 nt
Filed under: Microbacterium maritypicum
Lineage: Bacteria; Bacillati; Actinomycetota; Actinomycetes; Micrococcales; Microbacteriaceae
Also listed under: 6 other names
Description: Microbacterium liquefaciens tRNA-Met
Rfam family: tRNA
About the family: Transfer RNA (tRNA) molecules are approximately 80 nucleotides in length. Their secondary structure includes four short double-helical elements and three loops (D, anti-codon, and T loops).
Source: RNAcentral
GGCAGGGUAGCUCAGCUGGUUAGAGCGCACGACUCAUAAUCGUGAGGUCGCGGGUUCAAGCCCCGCUCCUGCUAC